Molecule: long non-coding RNA, 2151 nt
Organism: Podarcis raffonei (Aeolian wall lizard)
Lineage: Eukaryota; Metazoa; Chordata; Lepidosauria; Squamata; Lacertidae
Exons: 2
Source: RefSeq, a predicted model, not a curated record
UGAGCACUUUUUUGCAGCAUAAAACACUUUUAGCCUUACUCUGUAACACAUACACAAGGCAGGCCAGCAUCUAUGCAUAAGACAUAAUACCAGCAACUUCACAAAUCCAAGACAAUCUCCAGUUAAAAGGAAGCCUACUUUUUCCAUGUUGAGUUUUAAAUCUGGGGCAGGAGGGACAUUCAAAGCUGUGACAUCACACCUGCAGGCUGAGGUUGGCUCCGACUGACUUAGUAGCUUGGCUCUUUGAAUACUGCUGCAACAGUCAUCAAGUUAGGACAGUGCAAAAGGCUAAGCACUAAGGAGCCCAACAGGAAUAAAAAGAAAUGAUUUUUUAAAGGGACAAUCUGCUAAGCUUCAGAAAAGCGGAAAAAGGCUGUAUGGGGGGAAAACCAUAAUAUAAAUGUUAGAUUUAUUGUUAUGUACACUUUUCUGCUUGGCCACAAUAUAUAGUCCUCUUAAAUAUAUAUUUGCUUCUUUUUUUAUCGGUUUGGUGUCCUUGGUGCAAUUCCUUCACGAGGCAUAACAUCCUUAAGUCCUUAGGUAUCCAUCAGAAACUUCAGAACAGACACUUUGCCAACAGGAGGAGCUGAAGCAGAGAUAGUGACAGCUCAGUAGGAGAUGCUUUCAGCUUGUCAAAUGGAGCCAUGGAGGAGGAAACCAAGUGAGUCUCUGCCGCUUUCAUGCACAGAUUGCAAGAAGGAAGAAAUAAAGAAGCCUGGAGAGCGUCUGAGGGUGGAAGGAUGCUCAAAAUAAAGCACAGGAGUGAAGAGCCUUAAUUAUGUCUUGCAGGGGCUGUCAUGAGUCGACAGCUGCAGCAGGGAAAGACAGGAGGAGGAUAAGUCGGUUUUAUGCUGUGGCUUUUUUUAUUUUAAAAAAGUGCAAAUUGCUCCUUGAACGGGGGAGGAUGGAUGACUUAUACUUGAGGUGCUAAGCAGCUUAGCAAACUCAAAUUAACAUGCCAAGAUGCUGAAAAUGAGGGAUCAAGUUAAUUCAGCUGAUUCUCUCUCACCUCAAUUACUGUAAGACAGUUCUCUCUGAUCUUUCAUUUGCCCAUCUCCAACCUCUUAUUCCUACUUUGCAUCCCAUGGCUCAUUGGUUAAUCUGCAUCUCAUUUCAGAAUGCUCACAUCCCUUCCAGCUUCUCUUCACUGGCUCCCUUCCUUUACCAUGUGAACAUAGGAAGCUACAUGAGCAAUGUUUUCCAUGUGGGGAGCAAUGUAUCCUUACCUAACUAGCACCAAAAAACAGGUCAGCUAUUAGAGAUCCGUGACCUGCACACCAGGUGUACUGAACUAGGUAGACCUGCCCUCUGAGAAACUCAAAAGAUCUCCUUCCCUGCUAUUUUUCCAGUGAAUAAUCCUGCUCUCUUUUCACCCCACAUCUGAAACCUUCAAUUCAUCCCCUAGUUCCUUUCAUCCCCUCCAGCUUCUAGUUAAUUGCACGGUUGCCACAAUUAACUUGACACACACCACUGCAGUUCUCAAAACAAUGGAUAAAGUACCAAGACUAACUCCGCCUCCCACCCAGAAAAUAAUGGGUAUUUAUAACUUUGUAGGACACUUAGCUCGUGCCCCUUGGAACAUAAGAUGCUGCCUUAUACUGCCAGGUCAAUGGUGCAUCUAGCUCAGGACUUGUCUACACUGACCAGCAGUGGAUCUCCAGAGUUGCAAAGCGGAUGCUCUGCUACUGAACUACAGCUCUUCCCCUUGACAACUCCGGUUCUGAGCCACAUUAUGCAGCACAGGAUAUCUAGUGUGCAUACAGUAGAGGGACUACAAAUCAGAUGCAAAUCUCUGCUCAGACAUAAAGGUUACUGAGUGACCUUGAGCCAGUUACCAUCUCUCAUCCUUGCCUACCUCACAGUGAUGUUGCAAGGAUAAAAGGGGACAGACCAUGGACUGCUGAAGGAGGAAGAAGAGAGGAUAUAAUUAAAUAAAACUAUGAAGAUUUUUGUAAAACUCGGAGCAUUUUAAAAGAAGAAAAGUAUAGUUGCUUGAAGGUUGCCAUAGUAUAAGCUUAAUUAGAAGCCGGUACUUCCUAAAUACAGGACACUGUGUUUCACUUUGUCUACUCCUAGAUUUGUUCACACUUGUUUGCUAUAUAUUUCAUUUGGAUGUCAUUUUUGUAUUUAAUACAAGGCAUGUCUUAAUUA